RNAcentral lists this unclassified non-coding RNA (337 nucleotides) under Hevea brasiliensis (rubber tree). The record is from RNAcentral. Lineage: Eukaryota; Viridiplantae; Streptophyta; Magnoliopsida; Malpighiales; Euphorbiaceae.
AUAUUUGGUGAGACAAGUCAAUUAUUUGGUCGUAUAUUGCAUAUGAUUGAUGUAAGGAGGAUCUGGAUCUGGACCAAACUAAGAGUAUGCAAGACAAGGAACUUUCAUGAAGGUGCCAAAAAUUGCCGGGUUUGGGCUUCAUUGGCUUCUGUUUCAUUGGGUGAAUCUUCAUCAUCAGGCAGGUCACAAUCCUAACAUAGAUGUAGGAUUUGAAUGAGGUCAGGAAAGGGCUUAAUGAUGAGAUAAUGUUUAACAUAGUCUCUCCCUCUCUCCCCCUUGUUAAAAUUUUAUAAUGAUUAGCGCUGAUGAUUAUAGGUGAAGCUUUUGUCCUUUUUUU